GGGGUUGUAGCUCAGUGGUAGAGUACUUGUCUUACACAUGUGAGGAACUGGGUUCCAUCCUCAGCACCACCA
Molecule: transfer RNA, 72 nt
Filed under: Urocitellus parryii (Arctic ground squirrel)
Lineage: Eukaryota; Metazoa; Chordata; Mammalia; Rodentia; Sciuridae
Also listed under: 1 other name
Description: Spermophilus parryii (Arctic ground squirrel) tRNA
Rfam family: tRNA
About the family: Transfer RNA (tRNA) molecules are approximately 80 nucleotides in length. Their secondary structure includes four short double-helical elements and three loops (D, anti-codon, and T loops).
Source: Rfam by way of RNAcentral